GAUGAACGCUAGCGGCAGGCUUAAUACAUGCAAGUCGAACGGGAAUUGGGUAGCAAUACCUGAUGAUAGUGGCGCACGGGUGCGUAACGCGUAUGCAACCUACCUUUAACAGGGGGAUAGCCCGGAGAAAUUCGGAUUAAUACCCCAUAGUAUUAUGGAGAGGCAUCUUUUCAUGAUUAAAGUUCCGGCGGUUAAAGAUGGGCAUGCGUGCCAUUAGCUAGUUGGUGAGGUAACGGCUCACCAAGGCGACGAUGGUUAGGGGUCCUGAGAGGGUUAUCCCCCACACUGGUACUGAGACACGGACCAGACUCCUACGGGAGGCAGCAGUAAGGAAUAUUGGUCAAUGGGCGGAAGCCUGAACCAGCCAUGCCGCGUGCAGGAAGACGGCCUUAUGGGUUGUAAACUGCUUUUGUCAGGGAAUAAACCCUCGUUUGCGAACGAGGCUGAAGGUACCUGAAGAAUAAGCAUCGGCUAACUCCGUGCCAGCGGCCGCGGUAAACUGUAGUCGU
RNAcentral lists this ribosomal RNA (509 nucleotides) under uncultured bacterium. Its description in RNAcentral is "bacterial SSU rRNA". It matches the Rfam family "Bacterial small subunit ribosomal RNA", at positions 28 to 532 of the family's 1533-position model. The record is from RNAcentral.